This 253-nucleotide ribosomal RNA is filed under the name uncultured bacterium. RNAcentral's name for it is "partial 16S ribosomal RNA". It matches the Rfam family "Bacterial small subunit ribosomal RNA", at positions 524 to 776 of the family's 1533-position model. The record is from RNAcentral.
UACGGAGGGUGCAAGCGUUAUCCGGAUUUACUGGGUGUAAAGGGUGCGUAGGUGGGUAGGUAAGUCAGUGGUGAAAUCUUCAAGCUUAACUUGGAAACUGCCAUUGAUACUAUUUAUCUUGAAUACUUUGGAGGUAAGCGGAAUAUGUCAUGUAGCGGUGAAAUGCUUAGAUAUGACAUAGAACACCAAUUGCGAAGGCAGCUUACUACACAGUUAUUGACACUGAGGCACGAAAGCGUGGGGAUCAAACAGG